AUAUCAUAGCGGCGAAUGGGUGAGUAACACGUACUCAACGUACCUUUUAGAUUGGGAUAGCGGAUGGAAACAUCCGAUAAUACCGAAUACUUAUUAUUUUUGCAUGAAAGUAAUAUAAAAGGAAGCGUUUGCUUCGCUAAAAGAUCGGAGUGCGCAACAUUAGCUAGUUGGUGAGGUAACGGCCCACCAAGGCGAUGAUGUUUAGCGGGGUUGAGAGAUUGAUCCGCCACACUGGGACUGAGAUACGGCCCAGACUCCUACGGGAGGCAGCAGUAGGGAAUAUUCCACAAUGGACGAAAGUCUGAUGGAGCGACACAGCGUGCAGGAUGAAGGCCCUAUGGGUUGUAAACUGCUGUGGUUAGGGAAGAAAAAGUAGCAUAGGAAAUGAUGCUACCUUGACGGUACCUGAUUAGAAAGCAACGGCUAACUAUGUGCCAGCAGCCGCGGUAAUACAUAGGUUGCAAGCGUUAUCCGAAAUUAUUGGGCGUAAAGCGUCUGUAGGUUGUUUGUUAAGUCUGGCGUUAAAUUUUGGGGCUCAACCCCAAAACGCGUUGGAUACUGGCAGACUAGAGUUAUGUAGAGGUUAGCGGAAUUCCUUGUGAAGCGGUGAAAUGCGUAGAUAUAAGGAAGAACAUCAAUAUGGCGAAGGCAGCUAACUGGGCAUACACUGACACUGAGAGACGAAAGCGUGGGGAGCAAACAGGAUUAGAUACCCUGGUAGUCCACGCCCUAAACGAUGAUCAUUAGUUGAUGGGGAACUCAUCGACGCAGCUAACGCAUUAAAUGAUCCGCCUGAGUAGUACGUUCGCAAGAAUAAAACUUAAAGGAAUUGACGGGGAUCCGCACAAGCGGUGGAGCAUGUGGUUUAAUUUGAUGUUACGCGUAGAACCUUACCCACUCUUGACAUCUUCUGCAAA
This 917-nucleotide ribosomal RNA is filed under the name uncultured Mycoplasma sp. RNAcentral's name for it is "bacterial SSU rRNA". It matches the Rfam family "Bacterial small subunit ribosomal RNA", at positions 87 to 997 of the family's 1533-position model. Lineage: Bacteria; Bacillati; Mycoplasmatota; Mollicutes; Mycoplasmatales; Mycoplasmataceae. The record is from RNAcentral.